GGAAGUAAAAGUCGUAACAAGGUUUGCCUACACUAAGAUCCUUCCCUCAGGGAAACUUACUGAAGCCUUUGCAACCCCCCCAGGGGUGGAUACACGACUCUAAAUAAGGUACCGUAUGCAAGUCGGACGCAAGUCUGGCAACAUGACCGAAUUGACGGGGAAGCCCUAAAGCCCACACCACCAACCUGCACGGGAAACCGUGUAGGGGCCGAUGCUAAUACCAUCGGAGGUAAUAGCGUGUGGGAUGAACAAUGGGUGAUCCGCAGCGAAGGCCCUAAGUGCUCCGGCAUAUGGGACACGUCCACAGACUAAGUGGUCAUGGGUAGUUCACUAAUUCCAGUGACUGCUUCAGAUAUAGUCGGGUCCGCAACGAAACUUGUGGAGUUAUAUAACCGUUCCGUAGGUGAACCUGCGGAAGGAUCAUUAAGGAGUAUUUGCGGGAAAUCGAAAGAAAGUACCGCUCUCCCACCCGUGACUAUAUACUAUGUUGCUUUCCGGGCUUAAACCCCCGGAGAGGACCAAACUCUUGAAUUUAUUACUGUCUGAGUACUAUAUAAUAGUUAAAACUUUCAACAACGGAUCUCUUGGUUCUGGCAUCGAUGAAGAACGCAGCGAAAUGCGAUAAGUAAUGUGAAUUGCAGAAUUCAGUGAAUCAUCGAAUCUUUGAACGCACAUUGCGCCCCUUGGUAUUCCGGGGGGCAUGCCUGUUCGAGCGUCAUUAAUACCAAUCCCUUCGGGGGUCUUGGGGCUUGGGAUCUCCCAGCUCUUAAAAUCAGUGGCGGUGCCUCUCGGCUCUAAGCGUAGUAAUUCUUCUCGCUAUAGUCCCCGGGAGAACAUUUGCCAAUAACCCCCACACUUUUAAGGUUGACCUCGGAUCAGGUAGGGAUACCCGCUGAACUUAAGCAUAUCAAUAAGCGGAGGA
RNAcentral lists this ribosomal RNA (922 nucleotides) under Godronia cassandrae. Its description in RNAcentral is "eukaryotic LSU rRNA". The stretch from base 565 to 718 matches the Rfam family "5.8S ribosomal RNA". Lineage: Eukaryota; Fungi; Ascomycota; Leotiomycetes; Helotiales; Godroniaceae. The record is from RNAcentral.